GUAGGGAAUAUUGCACAAUGGAGGAAACUCUGAUGCAGCGACGCCGCGUGAGUGAUGAAGGCCUUCGGGUCGUAAAGCUCUGUCGCAGGGGAAUAACACAAUGAAGGUACCCUGUAAGAAAGGAUCGGCUAACUUCGUGCCAGCAGCCGCGGUGAGACGAGGGAUCCUAGCGUUGUUCGGAAUCAUUGGGCGUAAAGCGGAUGUAGGUGGCUAUGUAAGUCAGAUGUGAAAGCCUGGGGCUCAACCCCAGAAGUGCAUUUGAUACUGCGUAGCUUGAGUGUCGGAGAGGUUACUAGAAUUGUUGGUGUAGUGGUGAAAUACGUAGAUAUCAACAGGAAUACCGGAGGCGAAGGCGGGUAACUGGCCGAACACUGACACUGAGAUCCGAAAGCGUGGGGAUCAAACAGGAUUAGAAACCCGGGUAGUCC
Molecule: ribosomal RNA, 428 nt
Filed under: uncultured bacterium
Lineage: Bacteria
Description: partial 16S ribosomal RNA
Rfam family: Bacterial small subunit ribosomal RNA
Source: RNAcentral